Molecule: non-coding RNA, 83 nt
Organism: Anolis carolinensis (green anole)
Lineage: Eukaryota; Metazoa; Chordata; Lepidosauria; Squamata; Anolidae
Source: Rfam
UGAGGCCGUUACCUACAGCUGAUGAGCUCCAAAAAGAGCGAAACCUGUUAAAAUAGGUCCUGUAGUAUUGGCCGACUGAGCCG